CCUACGGGGGGCAGCAGUGGGGAAUAUUGGACAAUGGGGGCAACCCUGAUCCAGCCAUGCCGCGUGUGUGAAGAAGGCCCUCGGGUUGUAAAGCACUUUCAGUGAGUAAGAACGCCUGGUGGUUAAUACCCAUCAGGAAAGACAUCACUCACAGAAGAAGCACCGGCUAACUCCGUGCCAGCAGCCGCGGUAAUACGGAGGGUGCGAGCGUUAAUCGGAAUUACUGGGCGUAAAGCGCGCGUAGGUGGCUUGAUAAGCCGGUUGUGAAAGCCCCGGGCUCAACCUGGGAACGGCAUCCGGAACUGUCAAGCUAGAGUGCAGGAGAGGAAGGUAGAAUUCCCGGUGUAGCGGUGAAAUGCGUAGAGAUCGGGAGGAAUACCAGUGGCGAAGGCGGCCUUCUGGACUGACACUGACACUGAGGUGCGAAAGCGUGGGUAGCAAACAGGAUUAGAUACCCCAGUAGUC
This 465-nucleotide ribosomal RNA is filed under the name Vreelandella stevensii. RNAcentral's name for it is "partial 16S ribosomal RNA". It matches the Rfam family "Bacterial small subunit ribosomal RNA", at positions 338 to 795 of the family's 1533-position model. Lineage: Bacteria; Pseudomonadati; Pseudomonadota; Gammaproteobacteria; Oceanospirillales; Halomonadaceae. The record is from RNAcentral.